Molecule: ribosomal RNA, 797 nt
Filed under: uncultured bacterium
Lineage: Bacteria
Description: bacterial SSU rRNA
Rfam family: Bacterial small subunit ribosomal RNA
Source: RNAcentral
UGAAGUGAAAGGCAGUGGNUCAACCAUUGUAGGCUUUGGAAACUGUUUAACUNGAGUGCAGAAGGGGAGAGUGGAAUUCCAUGUGUAGCGGUGAAAUGCGUAGAUAUAUGGAGGAACACCGGUGGCGAAAGCGGCUCUCUGGUCUGUAACUGACGCUGAGGCUCGAAAGCGUGGGGAGCGAACAGGAUUAGAUACCCUGGUAGUNCACGCCGUAAACGAUGAGUGUUAGGUGUUAGGUCCUUUCCGGGACUUAGUGCCGCAGCUAACGCAUUAAGCACUCCGCCUGGGGAGUACGACCGCAAGGUUGAAACUCAAAGGAAUUGACGGGGGCCCGCACAAGCGGUGGAGCAUGUGGUUUAAUUCGAAGCAACGCGAAGAACCUUACCAGGUCUUGACAUCCCGAUGCUAUUUCUAGAGAUAGGAAGUUUCUUCGGAACAUCGGUGACAGGUGGUGCAUGGUUGUCGUCAGCUCGUGUCGUGAGAUGUUGGGUUAAGUCCCGCAACGAGCGCAACCCUUAUUGUUAGUUGCCAUCAUUGAGUUGGGCACUCUAGCGAGACUGCCGGUAAUAAACCGGAGGAAGGUGGGGAUGACGUCAAAUCAUCAUGCCCCUUAUGACCUGGGCUACACACGUGCUACAAUGGCUGGUACAACGAGUCGCAAGCCGGUGACGGCAAGCUAAUCUCUGAAAGCCAGUCUCAGUUCGGAUUGUAGGCUGCAACUCGCCUACAUGAAGUCGGAAUCGCUAGUAAUCGCGGAUCAGCACGCCGCGGUGAAUACGUUCCCGGGCCUUGUACAC